UGGGGAAUUUUGCGCAAUGGGCGAGAGCCUGACGCAGCAACGCCGCGUGAGUGAUGAAGGCCUUCGGGUCGUAAAGCUCUGUCAGAGGGAAAGAACAACCUGUCGGUUAAUACCCGGCGGGCCUGACGGUACCAUAUGAAUAAGCACCGGCUAACUCCGUGCCAGCAGCCGCGGUAAUACGGAGGGUGCAAGCGUUAUCCGGAUUCACUGGGUUUAAAGGGUGCGUAGGUGGGUCGGUAAGUCAGUGGUGAAAUCCCCGAGCUUAACUUGGGAACUGCCAUUGAUACUAUCAGUCUUGAAUACCGUGGAGGUCGGCGGAAUAUGUCAUGUAGCGGUGAAAUGCUUAGAUAUGACAUAGAACACCAAUUGCGAAGGCAGCUGGCUACGCGGAUAUUGACACUG
Molecule: ribosomal RNA, 402 nt
Filed under: uncultured bacterium
Lineage: Bacteria
Description: bacterial SSU rRNA
Rfam family: Bacterial small subunit ribosomal RNA
Source: RNAcentral